UACGUAGGGGGCAAGCGUUGUCCGGAAUCAUUGGGCGUAAAGAGCGUGUAGGCGGCUCGGUAAGUCCGCUGUGAAAGUCCAGGGCUCAACCCUGGAAUGCCAGUGGAAACUGUCGAGCUAGAGUCCGGAAGAGGCGAGUGGAAUUCCUGGUGUAGCGGUGAAAUGCGCAGAUAUCAGGAGGAACACCAAUGGCGAAGGCAGCUCGCUGGGACGGUACUGACGCUGAGGAGCGAAAGCGUGGGGAGCGAACAGG
This 253-nucleotide ribosomal RNA is filed under the name uncultured bacterium. RNAcentral describes it as "partial 16S ribosomal RNA". It matches the Rfam family "Bacterial small subunit ribosomal RNA", at positions 524 to 776 of the family's 1533-position model. The record is from RNAcentral.